This 206-nucleotide long non-coding RNA is filed under the name Elaeis guineensis (African oil palm). RNAcentral describes it as "long non-coding RNA (EGUI_LNC058915)". Lineage: Eukaryota; Viridiplantae; Streptophyta; Magnoliopsida; Arecales; Arecaceae. The record is from RNAcentral.
UCACAUUUAGAAAUUUCUCAUCAUUCUUAAAUUUUUUACUAACUUGAAGUUCUUACAAUGAAUUGCAUAUAUGAACUGGACUUUCGAUAUCCAAUAUCUAAGAAGUAGUGUCACAUAUGGAGAAAUUACAAGGUGUUAUCAUAUAAGCACCUUGAUCAGCAACUAAUUGCUCGUUUCUCUUUAGUCUAUUUGGGUCAUAGUCUGCU